This 518-nucleotide long non-coding RNA is filed under the name Homo sapiens (human). Its description in RNAcentral is "long non-coding RNA NONHSAT232922". Lineage: Eukaryota; Metazoa; Chordata; Mammalia; Primates; Hominidae. The record is from RNAcentral.
CCCGUCCUACCUGUAGUGGUGAUGCUAGAAACUUCUUGUUUGGACACCCAACCUGCCUAGCGCUCACCUAGGGCGCAUAGACAGUAGACGGAGUGAAGAAGAUAAAGUCUAUUGGUUGCAAGACAACUUGAGUGAUUUGGCUCCGCGAAACACCAGGUGAAGUCAAAAUAAGUCUUUCCCCCAAAGGAACCGUUUUACCUCGACUUUUUAUCUCAUGGAGAGUCCUUUUCAACAUGGUUCAAAGGAGUUGGAUGGAAGUGUAAUCUCACUACUCAUCGGUUCUAGAUCUGCCACUUCCAAUUAGAUCUACAGUAGGGGCGGGGGAGAGGAGAUCGGGCAGCGAUUCUAACUUUUGCCUUUCGGAGAUACAGUGGCGGGGCAGGCCAAACGGCAUCUCUGCAGAGAGAAGCCGCUAAAUAAGCACCGUCCUUUAAGUAGAAUUUCUCCUUCCGGUCCAGAUCCCAGUCCACAGUCCACAUGUAUGCCUCAGUUUCUUUGACUGAUCCACAAUUAGAACU